UAGGGAAUCUUCCGCAAUGGACGCAAGUCUGACGGAGCAACGCCGCGUGAGUGAAGAAGGAUUUCGGUUCGUAAAACUCUGUUGUUAGAGAAGAACAGCGCAUAGAGUAACUGUUAUGCGUGUGACGGUAUCUAACCAGAAAGCCCCGGCUAAUUACGUGCCAGCAGCCGCGGUAAUACGUAAGGGGCGAGCGUUGUCCGGAAUUAUUGGGCGUAAAGAGUGCGUAGGCGGCAAAUUAAGUCAGAUGUGAAAACUAAGGGCUCAACCCAUAGAUUGCAUCUGAAACUGAUAUGCUUGAGUCAAGGAGAGGAAAGUGGAAUUCCUAGUGUAACGGUGGAAUGCGUAGAUAUUAGGAGGAAUACCGGUGGCGAAGGCGACUUUCUGGACUUGAACUGACGCUGAGGCACGAAAGCGUGGGGAGCAAACAGG
RNAcentral lists this ribosomal RNA (429 nucleotides) under Bacteroidota bacterium. RNAcentral's name for it is "Bacteroidetes bacterium partial 16S ribosomal RNA". It matches the Rfam family "Bacterial small subunit ribosomal RNA", at positions 355 to 776 of the family's 1533-position model. The record is from RNAcentral. Lineage: Bacteria; Pseudomonadati; Bacteroidota.